UUCCACGCCGUAAACGAUGGAUGCUAACUGUUAGGGGGGUUUCCGCCCUUUAGUUGCUGCAGCUAAAGCAUUAAGCACUCCGCCCGGGGAGGACGGUCGCAAGAGUGAAACUCAAAAGGAAUUGACGGGGGGGCGGCCAAGCGGUGGAGCAUGUGGUUUAAUUCGAAGCAACGCGGAGAACCUUAUCAGGUCUUGACAUCUCGCUGAGCGCCCUAGAGAUAGAGCUUUUCUUCGGGGGAAGCGGUGACAGAUGGUGCAUGGUUGUUGUCAGCUCGUGUCGUGAGAUGUUGGGUUAAGUCCCGCAACGAGCGCAACCCUUGAUCUUAGUUGUCAGCAUUCAGUUGGGCGCUCUAAGGUGACUGCCGCUGAUAAACCGGAGGAAGGUGGGGAUGACGUCAAAUCAUCAUGCCCCUUAUGACCUGGGCGACACCCGUGCUACAAUGGUCGGUACAGAGGUCGCAACCCCGCGAGGGUGAGCUGAAUAUCCACAAAACCGUUCUCAGUUCGGAUAUUAGGCUGCAACUCGCCUGCAUGAAG
Molecule: ribosomal RNA, 537 nt
Filed under: Bacillaceae bacterium
Lineage: Bacteria; Bacillati; Bacillota; Bacilli; Caryophanales; Bacillaceae
Description: bacterial SSU rRNA
Rfam family: Bacterial small subunit ribosomal RNA
Source: RNAcentral